CGUGUAGGCGGCUAGGUAGGUCCGUUGUGAAAACUCGAGGCUCAACCUCGAGACGUCGAUGGAAACUAUCUAGCUAGAGUCCGGAAGAGGAGAGUGGAAUUCCUGGUGUAGCGGUGAAAUGCGCAGAUAUCAGGAAGAACACCCGUGGCGAAGGCGGCUCUCUGGUACGUGACUGACGCUGAGACGCGAAAGCGUGGGAGCAAACA
Molecule: ribosomal RNA, 206 nt
Filed under: uncultured bacterium
Lineage: Bacteria
Description: partial 16S ribosomal RNA
Rfam family: Bacterial small subunit ribosomal RNA
Source: RNAcentral